CCUGGUUCCUACUGUCGCCCACAUACUGCAGUUUUGUGGCUUCGCUGCUGGAAACAGCGAGUGACCUCGACCACAAACUGACUGAUGGACUGACUUCCUGUGUCGGCAGGGCGGCGUGUAUCCGGAGCUCCGCAGGGAGGCAGACAGGAUCAUGGACGUCAUCA
This is a long non-coding RNA of Siniperca chuatsi (mandarin fish), 164 nucleotides long. RefSeq lists it as uncharacterized. The record is from RefSeq and is a predicted model, not a curated record. Lineage: Eukaryota; Metazoa; Chordata; Actinopteri; Centrarchiformes; Sinipercidae. The transcript has 3 exons.